AAGCACGGCUUCGCAGCGCACAGACGAGGAGCUUGCUCCUGAUGAUGCUGCGGGGAAAGUCCCCGUGCCUAUGGGCAGAGAGUGUCAGCGGGAGACCGCAA
This 101-nucleotide RNase MRP RNA is filed under the name Pelagodinium bei. RNAcentral describes it as "Pelagodinium beii partial RNase MRP". It matches the Rfam family "RNase MRP", at positions 11 to 119 of the family's 266-position model. Rfam says of the family: RNase MRP is an enzymatically active ribonucleoprotein with two distinct roles in eukaryotes. Lineage: Eukaryota; Dinophyceae; Suessiales; Suessiaceae. The record is from RNAcentral.